CCUACGGGGGGCAGCAGUGGGGAAUAUUGGACAAUGGGGGGAACCCUGAUCCAGCCAUGCCGCGUGUGUGAAGAAGGCCCUCGGGUUGUAAAGCACUUUCAGUGAGGAAGAACGCCUGGUGGUUAAUACCCAUCAGGAAAGACAUCACUCACAGAAGAAGCACCGGCUAACUCCGUGCCAGCAGCCGCGGUAAUACGGAGGGUGCGAGCGUUAAUCGGAAUUACUGGGCGUAAAGCGCGCGUAGGUGGCUUGAUAAGCCGGUUGUGAAAGCCCCGGGCUCAACCUGGGAACGGCAUCCGGAACUGUCAAGCUAGAGUGCAGGAGAGGAAGGUAGAAUUCCCGGUGUAGCGGUGAAAUGCGUAGAGAUCGGGAGGAAUACCAGUGGCGAAGGCGGCCUUCUGGACUGACACUGACACUGAGGUGCGAAAGCGUGGGUAGCCAACAGGAUUAGAUACCCCUGAGUC
This 464-nucleotide ribosomal RNA is filed under the name Vreelandella stevensii. RNAcentral's name for it is "partial 16S ribosomal RNA". It matches the Rfam family "Bacterial small subunit ribosomal RNA", at positions 338 to 795 of the family's 1533-position model. Lineage: Bacteria; Pseudomonadati; Pseudomonadota; Gammaproteobacteria; Oceanospirillales; Halomonadaceae. The record is from RNAcentral.